CUCCCUCGUCCGUGAUGCGUUUAGUGCGCAUUCCGUGGAGGAUUUCUGGAUCGGAUGCUCAGAAGAGUACAUGGGUAUCAAGAAACUUGCCCUUUAUGUGCUGACGAUGUUUCCAUCUACCUACACGUGUGAGUCAAGCUUUUCGUCAAUGAAUGCAAUCAAGACACACGAGAGGAACCGUCUGACCAAUGCAAGCUUGGAGAACUGCUUGAGGAUAAAAGUGACAUCCCUGUCGCCCGACAUCCACAAAAUUGUGACCGAAGGGAGGAGCCACUUUUCCCAUUAAGAGCAGCGCAGAUCCUUCUCCCACGCGGACAAUGUGCAUUCAUCUUUCACUUUCUUUAAGUUUUAUUUUAAUUGGGCCAUUUCACAUUUGAGCAGACCUUGUUAUGUUGUUAAUUUAACGAGACGUAGACUAUUUUUUACCUUGCCCACUGGAGGAGGGAGACAGGACACUUUUGGUUUUUUUUUGCACAAGAUUACGCGCACUCGCGUGCCAAUACCGUUCCGACCUGUGCGUCAUGGAUAACUGCACAGAUGUUCCACCUGUUGUUUUGUCACUUUAGGACUAUCAUCUAUACCUCAAUAAAUGUUUCGAAAUUGAUGGGAUUGCUGUAUGCCUUUUUUUUUUUUUUU
Gadus macrocephalus (Pacific cod) is the source of this 636-nucleotide long non-coding RNA. RefSeq lists it as uncharacterized. The record is from RefSeq and is a predicted model, not a curated record. The transcript has 2 exons. Lineage: Eukaryota; Metazoa; Chordata; Actinopteri; Gadiformes; Gadidae.